AAGCAGAAGCAACUGUCAGCUCCAAGUCCCUCUUUUCCUUGGCCUCUGGGAGAGAGGUGAAGCUGCUCAAUUUUGGUCAUUAAUCCCAUGAACAACGCUAGAAAGUUUAUGGAGAUCAGGCCAGGCAAAUUGCAGAGCUGAAUGCAAGAUUUUUUUUUUGACUGGGGAUUAAUCAAGUGUUGGAUCUUGAAUUGCCUACGUCAAUACCUCCGAAGUGACCCCUUCCACACAGAGUUACAAAACAGCUGGAACACAGGCUUGAAGUACUCCAAGGAAUAGCGAGCCUCAGGGAAUAAUGUAUAGCCCCAGGCAACAGAAGUGGAUUAUUUCAGGCUGAGGAGCAUUUUGUGCCCGCUUUCUGUCCAAAGUUUCACCUGACCAUGACCAAACUAAUGGUAAAUGAGAGAGAGGCAGUUACAGCUGGAGAAGUAUCUUCAAAAUGGCUUGGAAUCUAGAUAAAUUGUGCUUGUGUCUGACUAUUGCAAAUUGCCAAGUUUUCCAUUCCUCUUUUCAUGUUGCUGUGGUACUAAUGAGAAUAAUGUCGUUUUGGAGCAGGUUGGUGCAGCAUGACUCCACAGCAUUUUUAGGGAGGGGAUGCUGUUUUGGUUUUCUGGGAAGUGCUUGCUAUGCUGUGGUAACCUUGCUUGAAGUGAGCUGUUCUGGGAAGUGUGUGUGUUUUGAAGAACCAAAUAUGAGGUUUGUAUCUCAAGAGCUCUUCACUUGCCAUGUGUGACUAGGGUAUGUAAAGGGAAUUCAGAAGGGCUAUAGAAAAUUAUAUGAAUAAGUAUUCCUAAAAAAAUCUAGAAAGAUUUUUC
This 815-nucleotide long non-coding RNA is filed under the name Parus major (Great Tit). Its description in RNAcentral is "lncRNA (ENSPMJG00000007402.1)". Lineage: Eukaryota; Metazoa; Chordata; Aves; Passeriformes; Paridae. The record is from RNAcentral.